Molecule: ribosomal RNA, 466 nt
Filed under: uncultured bacterium
Lineage: Bacteria
Description: partial 16S ribosomal RNA
Rfam family: Bacterial small subunit ribosomal RNA
Source: RNAcentral
GACGAACGCUGGCGGCGUGCUUAACACAUGCAAGUCGAACGGAAAGGCCUCUUUCGGGGGGUACUCGAGUGGCGAACGGGUGAGUAACACGUGAGUAACCUGCCCUUGACUUUGGGAUAACUUCAGGAAACUGGGGCUAAUACCGGAUAGGAGCUCCUGCUGCAUGGUGGGGGUUGGAAAGUUUCGGCGGUUGGGGAUGGACUCGCGGCUUAUCAGCUUGUUGGUGGGGUAGUGGCUUACCAAGGCUUUGACGGGUAGCCGGCCUGAGGGGGUGACCGGCCACAUUGGGACUGAGAUACGGCCCAGACUCCUACGGGAGGCAGCAGUGGGGAAUAUUGCACAAUGGGUGGAAGCCUGAUGCAGCAACGCCGUGUGCGGGAUGACGGCCUUCGGGUUGUAAACCGCUUUCGCUCAUGACGAAGCUUUGUGUGACGGUAGUGGGUAAAGAAGCACCGGCUAACUACGU